Molecule: long non-coding RNA, 1692 nt
Organism: Sapajus apella (tufted capuchin)
Lineage: Eukaryota; Metazoa; Chordata; Mammalia; Primates; Cebidae
Exons: 2
Source: RefSeq, a predicted model, not a curated record
CAUGAGAUAUGGUUUGGACACAGAUCCAAACCAUAUCAAUAGUAACACAAAACAGACUAAUAUAAAAAUAAAUUCCUCCAGAAAAGGAAAGAUAACUGGACCAUCAGCUAAGUGUGAUGCCAAGAGGUUUGCCAGCUCUGUGUUAGGUCUGAGUAAAUAUAUUAUUGAAAGUUUCCCAGAAAAUUAGUAAACCUGGAAAUGUAUUUUACAUCAUAUGGGGGUGGGGGUAUUAUAUUUACACUAUUUGCAUAAUCCAGGAAUCUAAAAUGUAGGAAUUAUAAUGUUGGCCUUCCCCAAUGGUGCCCAUGUGGGAACUAGAUGAAGACAAGGAGCAAUUGCUCUAUGUAAACAAUACCUGAACUCAGUGUGCACAGUAGUCUCACCCAGAGAUGGUGAGCUUACAAUCUCAAAUUAAAAGUACAUGAGAAAUAAACAUACUCCAGAUAAAAGCCAUUGGAAACAACAAACAGCCAUAAUAAAUGAGGAAAAAUGUUUUUUUGAUGGAUAAUUUGAGACUUAAAAAAAAAUGUGCUAAAAAUCAUUGCGACAGGGGAAUGGUGCUAAUCAAGUGGCAGAUAGAAAGCUCCUGACCUCAUUUCCUCACACAGACAACAAAUUAACAGUGUACACUUCAAAAAGCCUUUGUGAGAACUCUAGGAAUCAGGUAGGGAGUCACAGUACCCCAAGCAAGCUCAAGGCCAAGAACAGCCAUGUUGAAGUUUAAAAAAAAAAAAAAAAAAAAAAAAAAAUUUUUUUUUUUAAAUUAUAUCAGCCCCUCCUCCAUGCUGACACAGUUUGCUGCAGUAAGGAGGAAAAGCCUAACUCAUAUCUUCUCCCAGGGAGGAGAAACAAAAAGCGAAACAUGCCUAAUGUUCCAGCUUUAUGGUGGGCUGCCUCGGGGAUGGGCUUCUGGUUUGCCUGAUUUAGAGUGUCUAUAGGUAACUCACACACUUUGGAUGUCUGGGGACUGCUGAGGACAAAAGAAAGUUAAGCAACUAAUUGCAGGGCUAGAGAAACUCUAAUACCACAGACAGAAGCUGUUAAUACUCACCAUGAUUAGGAGUGAGUGCCCAGCAUGUGGUUUAUCCUUUGGGAGGAAAAGAGAAGAGUAAAUUACACAUCCACUCCUUUUACUUUUUGGAGGGCUUCCUGAGUUUCCCUCAACUGACUCAGAGUACUGUUUGAAACAGCAUCUUUUCUAUGCAUGGAAGCUACAGAGAACAAUAUAGAGCCCAGCAUUUUGUGGCAGCUCCAGAAAGCCUGUGGUAACACAGACAGACACCAGAGGAGGGAAGAAAUUAUAAACUUCUGAAAGAGAAAUUAACAAAUGUCUCAUAUUGUGACACAAUAUAGUCACAAGAGCAGAGAAGUAUUCCCAUAAAAGGUUUGAAAGGACCAUAGAAUGCCUAGCCAGGGUGACUGAUUGGGGAAGGCCUUCCAUUAUGAGAAGCUACUACUGUAAAGACUGGAAGAGGCGGCUGUUUUUUCAACUGGACAAAUCACAACAACUGCAGAAGUAACAAGGCACACAAGAAAGAAGGAAGCAUGGCUUAUCUUUCAACAGAAAGACCCCAAGACCAUACUGGAAAGAAAUCAUAAUAAAAAUCACAAUACCACUCUCACCACUUUUAUUCAAUGUAUUACUGGAAGUCUUAUUUGGAGCAAUAAGGUAAAAAAAAAAUUAGGAAAUUU